AGCAACAAAUGCCCUGCUUCCAGGAAAAGCCUCUAAGCAUCAGGUAACAUCAAAUCGUACCCCAAACCGACACAGGUGGUCAGGUAGAGAAUACCAAGGCGCUUGAGAGAACUCGGGUGAAGGAACUAGGCAAAAUGGUGCCGUAACUUCGGGAGAAGGCACGCUGACACGUAGGUGAAGUGAUUUACUCAUGGAGCUGAAGUCAGUCGAAGAUACCAGCUGGCUGCAACUGUUUAUUAAAAACACAGCACUGUGCAAACACGAAAGUGGACGUAUACGGUGUGACGCCUGCCCGGUGCCGGAAGGUUAAUUGAUGGGGUCAGCGCAAGCGAAGCUCCUGAUCGAAGCCCCGGUAAACGGCGGCCGUAACUAUAAC
This 376-nucleotide ribosomal RNA is filed under the name Salmonella enterica subsp. enterica serovar Uganda. RNAcentral describes it as "partial 23S ribosomal RNA". It matches the Rfam family "Bacterial large subunit ribosomal RNA", at positions 1589 to 1946 of the family's 2925-position model. The record is from RNAcentral. Lineage: Bacteria; Pseudomonadati; Pseudomonadota; Gammaproteobacteria; Enterobacterales; Enterobacteriaceae.